UUGAUUAGCUCUAGGGCCCACUAGUCUGUCUUUCUGGCAGUUCAGGGUACCUGCAAAGUUCUCCUCCAGCGCCACAUUUCAAAGGAAACUAUUCCCCCCCCCCAUGUCAGCUGAUAAUCCUCAAUACGCUGGAAUUCCCGGAGGGGUGGGGUGGGGAUGUAAAAACAUCUCUGAACCUCAAUGAGAACUAGAAUCACUGGGAAUCAUGCCCUCAACACGUCGUAUUUCCUCCCAAGGUAGAUCUGCCUAGUGGGUUGCUGUGCUCUCACUGUUGGGGAAGUAGGGAAGAAAAUGCAGCUGAGGGAGCAGUGUAGCCUAGUGGUUGGCGUUUUGGCCCAAAUGCGGCUGGAUUAGCAUUGACUGCGUCCAUGUGGCCACAAGAGGGCUGUAUAAGAUCCUGAGAGAGAAAGAGAGAGACUUCUCUCUCUCUCUCUCUCUCUCCCCCCCCUCCCCCGGGUGUUUUACUUCAGAGAAAGAAAUACGGAGUUUCCCACGACUUGCGUCACCAAGUGCAAUCCGGGGCCCCCUUUCCCUCCCCCCCUCUUCCCCUUCGAAGCAAAAGAGCGGAUGCUUCUUCUCUCCAUCACCAUCAGCUGCUGGAAGAUAGAGCCAGGGCGCGAGGCAGGGGCGCGCGAGUGCGAACGUGGCAGCCAAGCGCACGUGUGAAUGAACAAAGCGCCUCUCCCGGCGAGGAUCCCAAUCCGUGUCUAUUGUCUGGUAGGAAGAGGAGCGGCUGGCCGGGGUUUUGGAAAGAGUUCUGGAAGCUGAAGUCCCACGAAGAAGCGUGUCCAAACUCUGCGAGAGGAGUGGAUGUAUUGAUUUCUUUUAUUUUUAAACUCCAAAAUGCUCAGCAUCAGGAUGGGACCGUGCAGGACGGAAGGAUAAGGAUGCGCUGUUUCUGACAGGCUGUACAUCCAGUCCAUCUUUCUAACUAGAAAUCUUCUUAUCUGUUCCUGGAAUUCUGACAGCGAAAUGGAACGUACUAUAACUUGGUUAGGGGUUUAUCGAAAGCAGGGGUGAAAGCAACAGAAAAGGAACAGACUGGUGAUAUUCUUCAGUGAGACUCCCAGUGCUAGGUGGACUUCUUCCCCAUUUACAAACAGCAGGUGGGAGGGGGAGCUUUGCCAACUGCUGAUGCAACUCUUGCAUGUCUCAGAGAUGAAGCUGAUCCCGUUUGCAUCCCUUCAGGUGAAAAGGUGAAGGCUGUAGCGAUACAGCAGGUGCACAAACCUCUUGCAUUUCAGGUGCAGAAAUGAGUAUCUCUGAUGUGUUCAAAAAAGAAAAUGAGGAUAAUGCUGGAGUUUUGCUGUACAUACAGUAGGUUCCCCUAUCCACAGGGAAUUGGUUCCAGCCCCCGCAGAUGCUGAAAAAUGCGGAUUAUAGCAAAUGCUAUUACUGUAUAAAAGUGAACACUGUGCAUAGCUUGGGAAUACAGUAUGUAUACUUUUUUGGAAUACAGUGGUGCCUCGCAUAACGAGCGCCCCGUUUAACGACGAAUCCGCAUAGCGAUGCAGAUUUUGCAAUCGCAAAGCGAUCGCAUUGCGAUGUUUUGCCAACAGCUGAUCGGCGGUUCCAAAUUGGCUGCCAGGUCAACAAAAUGGCUGCCCGUAGCAUUUUUGCGCGGUUCCCUCGCUUACCAAGGCGGCGAAAAUGGCGGCCGGAUGGAAGAUCUCCGCAUAACGGUGAGUUUUUCCCCCAUAGGAAUGCAUUAAACGGGGUUUAAUGCGUUCCUAUGGGUUUUUUUGCCCCGUAUAGCGACCAUUCCGGAUAGCGACGAUUUAUCCGGAACGGCUUAUCGUCACUAUGUGGGGCACCACUGUAUUUUUAAAAAAUAUUUUUCAGACUAUGGGUAAGUGGAUCUGCGGAUGCUGAUCCUGCAGAUAAGGGGGUCCUACUAUAUUUGGAUCCCAGAUCUCUGGAGAUCUCCCACCACAGUAUACAAUGUUGCACUGCCCUUAGCAGAAGAAGGCCACUUCCAGAUAAACCCCUGCAAUCCUUCCAUGAGAAUUUUGAACUAUGGCAGGAAAUUGCAAACUGCUGGCAUUGGCGCAGAAAGAGGAGAUUCACCUCAUUGUGCUUACAUGAAAGUGGCUGACUUGAUCACGUGGAAAUAAUACUGAGUUUUGAGAAGGUGGUCUUUCCAUGUCUUCUGGUAUAUCUUAGCUUUGUUUUAUCUGUGGGUGGUGAUCAGAUAGUUGUAAAAACAUACAUCUAAUUGUAUUGGAAAAGGUUGCUUUGUUGGGAGCGGUCUUCCUGAAACUGCCCUUCCUUCUGCUGGGGAAAUCACUUCAGCCUGCCCCUCCCCAAAGCCCUCCAGCUGGACCAAAAUAUUUUGCUUAUCUAUCAUACCUGUAGAGAAGUGAGAGUGAUCUUAACCGACCAGAUAGGCGGGAUAUAAAUAAAAUAAAUAAAUAAAUAAGGUCCA
Molecule: long non-coding RNA, 2425 nt
Organism: Pogona vitticeps (central bearded dragon)
Lineage: Eukaryota; Metazoa; Chordata; Lepidosauria; Squamata; Agamidae
Source: Ensembl